CCGACCUUCCCUUUGAUGCCUUUGGGGUUUCCUUUUCUCCACGCUCUCAUUGGAGACCCAAGCUCCCCAGAUCCCAUUCUCCUCCAACUGGUGAUUUACAUACUUAAACUGUCUGCAAACUCCCUUCGCCUGGUAGUUCAGUGGGUUCUCACAUCCUCAAGAUUCCCAAAGCAAAGAUUACCUUUCUCAAAACCUCCCCUGAUACUAUUACCUCAGUGUAAGGCAUCAUUCAUCAAAUAAAAAUGAAAACCGAAUGGGACAUUUUCUUGUCUCCCCUCCCUGGAGCUCUAUUUCACUAACACCCAGUAUAAAACAGCGUACUGAGACAGUCUCGUCUCGCCUCCUCCAAGUGUUCAUCUUUGGUCUCCAGCCAGCCCUUGUCUACAUUCUCAGCCUCUCCUGUUUUGCUCUCUGCUUGAUUUAUUCUCACUUGACCACUUCCCACAGGAAACAAGUACCUCUUUUCACUUCUCCCCUAACAUUUUACACAUAUCUCAAACCUUGGGAUACUUUCAAGUAGAAGCGGAAUGCAAUGACUUAAGUACGUAGCCUCUGAACUCAGCUUCACCACUUACCAGCAGACAGCUUACUUAACCUCUCUUAACCUUACUUAAUCGUCGUUCUCACAUCCACAGAUUGGAAGACGACCAUAGUACACAAGGCCAUCAGAGACAUUGCCACCUAAGAGUAAUAACCUGCCACCUAUAUUCCACCAGCAAAUGGCUAUCAUUUCCACCUCUUUACCAAUCAUAAUAGCACUUACCCGUGAAUUACAGCAGAGUGCUGUGAAAUAUUAUGUGGAAAAUGUAUUUCUUCAGUUAUAUGACCAAAUCAAGCCCUCAGGUCUGGUACUGGCACAAAGACAGAAAUAUAGAUCAAUGGAACAAAAUAGAAAGCCCAGAGAUAAAUCCACACACAUAUGGACACCUUAUCUUUGACAAAGGAGGCAAGAAUAUACAAUGGAUUAAAGACAAUCUCUUUAACAAGUGAUGCUGAGAAAACUGGUCAACCACUUGUAAAAGAAUGAAACUAGAACACUUUCUAACAC
This is a long non-coding RNA of Bos taurus (domestic cattle), 1048 nucleotides long. NCBI's taxonomy places the organism in Eukaryota, Metazoa, Chordata, Mammalia, Artiodactyla, Bovidae. The record is from Ensembl.